UUGGCCGGCCGGGUAGUCGCUCUCUGGUAUAAGUAUAAUGUGUUCUUAAAGAUUUUUAGAGAGUUUUAUGUCAGGGAGAGGAAAGUCUGAACUCCACAGAGCGGAAUGCUGGGUAACACCCAGAAGGCGAAAGCCUAUGGAAAGUGCAACAGAAAAUAUACUGCCCCCCUGCUUUCUUGCCCUGAGAAAUUCGAAGAAUUUCCAGGACUGAGUCCCUGAAAUUGCAGCCGUAAUUUCUAGGGGCGAAAGCAAGAAGGGGGGUAAAGGUGAAAAGGUGAGGUAAGAGCUCACCGCUUCAGUGGUGACAUUGAAGGCAGUGCAAACCCCAUUCGGAGCAAGACCAAAUAGGGCACGGUAGGGCUGCUCGUCCUGUGCCGGGUUGGUCGCAAUGAGCAUGCGGGUAACCGGAUGCCAAGAUGAAUGACUAUCACCCCCCGGGGUUACAGAAUUCAGCUUACAGGCCGGCCAAUUUU
RNAcentral lists this RNase P RNA (473 nucleotides) under Candidatus Auribacterota bacterium. RNAcentral's name for it is "RNase P RNA component class A". It matches the Rfam family "Bacterial RNase P class A". Rfam says of the family: Ribonuclease P (RNase P) is a ubiquitous endoribonuclease, found in archaea, bacteria and eukarya as well as chloroplasts and mitochondria. The record is from RNAcentral. Lineage: Bacteria; Pseudomonadati; Candidatus Auribacterota.